RNAcentral lists this small RNA (2543 nucleotides) under Pongo abelii (Sumatran orangutan). RNAcentral describes it as "processed transcript". Lineage: Eukaryota; Metazoa; Chordata; Mammalia; Primates; Hominidae. The record is from RNAcentral.
ACCAACCAUUCAUAGAAGGAAGGGUCCUUAGGGUCUCUGGCCCCAUCACUUCAUGUGAUUGAUAGAAAGGCAAUGCCUUCUCACCCUUUCCUACUCUGCUGAUCUCAUUUAAGAGAAUGGGAGGCCAGAAUAAGCAAACCACAGCUUCCCAGAGGGACAGGAAUAAAUUCCAGCUGGCUAAAUUCCAGUUUGCACAUGAAGAGCUUCCUGAUGGUAGAUGGGUGCACAAGGUGGGUGGGAGCUGCAGCACCAUUCAGGACAGCAUUUCCCACAGCAGUGCAGUCUGUCGCAGGAGUAGCAACUCAUAAAGCGGGGGUUGGCCUUGCUCUGGCCUCAGGCUUAGUGAUUUGCUACUGCAAACCUACACAACAGGGAGUCCCUGCACCACCACUGGCCAGAGAGUUCUGGCUUUCUGACCAUGGGACUGCAGCCCAAGGCAUGGCAGGUGUCCAGCCAGCAAUCCAGAGAGAUGCAGCCCAAGGACCACUUAGAACCCUUUGGACAAUUUUAGGGCCGCUCCCUAAAUUAUUCUUCCCAACCAAGGUAGGCCAAAAAAAAAUUGCUGGUUCCUGGAAGUGACCAAAACUGUCCUCCAAUUGAAUCAGCUAGGACAGCAGAGAAAGCUUUCAUUAUUAAGGGGGCAGAGGGGUAGACUUGCAAGCUCAUCUAAACCAACUCCUUCAAAACAGCCUCCAAAUAUUUCACCCUACAAGGGAUGGGGAACUCCGGAAGACUGGCAUCAGCCGAUAUGGCUGAAUAGACUGCAGGUUUGGAAUCCAAAUGUGUCUACAAAUGUUCACUGAUUGAUUGUCAUUUUGUUCUCCCCACAUUUUAGUUUUGCUCAUUUUACAGCCCACAGCCUGUCUUGUGGAAUAAAUGAUACAAGCAGUUGAAGAAGGCACACUGUGCACCAAGGGGACGACUCAGGCAGUCUGCAGCGGUGGUCCAGGGCUACUCAGCUCAGCCUCAGUCACCUGCAAUGAAAACCACCUCUUGCCGUCAGAGUCAAUGACUCUGGUUUGUAGGAAAGAAUUCAUAUCUUCACAGCAAAAAUAAAAAUAAAAAAGGAGGGGGCAUGUUUUUAAUAUCAAACUGGCCAUCAAAGUGUUCACUGACCUUUAAUAACUGAUCUUUUCAUUUUGAAAUAUAGGGUUCAAUAAGGAUGGUCCAGAAAUCACUUUUAUUUUACUCAAGGGCUGUGAGGCCUCUACCUCAGGAGUCUCGGUUCUGGUGAGAGCAGUGUUUUGGGAGGCAUUGUGUGAGACACACCAGUUGGAGCAAAGUUCCCAAAGGCCAAGGGGGCCUAUCACAGUCACCUUGUGCUACCAAAGCACUGAGCAGCCAAGCCCCUAAGCAGAACAGCAGGGGAGAGGCCCAACAAGCCAGUGUCCCUAGAGCUCUAGGCCAUUACCCCCUGUGCUGUGUUCUGAGAUGAGGCUGCUCUCCCACUGCUUCCCCAGGAAAACAAUGCCCUAGUGUGGUCUCACAGCCUUCUAGGAGUCAGCGGAGGACUUCCAUUGAAAAUAAUGGAAAUUCACAUUGGUGUACUUUCGAUCCUUAAAAGGAACACACGUGACCAGGAAAGAUGCCCAAGGAUGGCAGCUGCCUUGCAGCCAAGCAUGGGUCAGACACACCAAUAUGGCAGCUUGACAUCCAGAGCCCAACCCAGUCCAAGGAGAAAAACAAGAAACACCUGCAAAGACUAAAUUCCCAGGUCCCAGAAGGAUGGACAAAUGUUUGGUGUUGACUUCAACAGCCCAGAUGAGAUUAAGUGACUUUCCCAAUCCUGCCAAGAAGCCUAGAAAGUGAGUAUUAGUCCCAUGAGCUGUCCCCAAGGCCUCACGGCCCCUGUGUUCUCAGAGGAGGCUGCCCUCUAGGGCUCAGCUGACCUCUGGGCUGAACUACAGUCCUCCCAGGGCAUCAUGGUCCUGGCAGGCAACUUGUUCCAUCCUCUGUCCCACAAGCUUCCUUUUCUAUUUCUACCUGGGCCUACGCACCAAUCCCUAAAUAAGGCCUCCCCAGACUAGACUUCAACACCCCAUCCCUUCUGAGGCCUGCCCCCCAUUCCCCUUAUGAAAAAACAUGGUGGGGGGAGCUCAUGCUCUUUAAAGGGAGCAGGAAGAUGAAGGCUCCACUCCACUGUCAAAUGGCCGUGAGUUAGCCUUUUGCCUAUACCUGUCAUCCCGAAUGACCAGGGCCCUCUGUGGGAGCCACAGGUUCCCUGUGGGAACGAUCAUGCCUUCCAGGUAUACAAAUGUGCCAGGCUUUCCCCAAGCACAUCCACAGUUGGUUGUGUUCAUUGAUCCCCACAACGCGGUGAGAUGGGCAAGGAUGUGGUAUUCCUCUUGGGAAUACUGGGGCUCAAGAGAAGUGAAUCGAUUUGACAGAGCCGCACUGGAAACCAGGUCUCUGAUCACCAGUUGAGUACUCUUCCCUUUCCCCCCUCAGCAGAAGACCUUCCACAUUUGAGAACUCAGUACCUGAGAACAGUUAAUGAUUCUUUGCAAACAACCUGAAGAUUCACAACAUGCAGUAAUUUACAA